CGGGCGGGCGCGCUCGGCUUCCAGGCUCUUGCCCUCUCUCCCGGGCUGGGGAGGAACCGCCCCGCUGCCUGGGCCGCCGCCACCGCCGCCGCCGCCUCCCCAGCGCGGCCAACCCCGGGCUGGCCCAGCCCCCGCCCCGGGCCGGCCAUAGGGCGCUGGGGGGGCGGGGGGGGGGCCGGGGGCGCGGCUUUGUGGCGGCAGCGGCAGCGGACCGUGGAGGCCGGGUGCAGCCCCGUCGGCUGCGCGCUCUCUGCAGAAAAGGAUUUUCUAUGCUCCCCGCCCAUCACUUGGAUCUCGUCUGGGGAGGGGCGGAUUUUUUUUCUGGAAGUACCCUUCUUCUUCACGGUGGAGGAUUUAAGGCUGGGCUCCAAUCGAGGCGGAGGCUGCAGGGCCCGCGGGGCGCCCCCCACGCCCGGCGCACGCCUGCCUGGAGCCUGGGAAGGCGCAGCCCCGGCAGGGGGGCCGUGCACCCCAGGAGGCAGCAGCGGCGGCGUUGGAGCGUCCGCAUCCCCGCCCCCACCCCGGAAAGCCCGCUCGGGAAACUGACUCGCUGCGUGACCCCGAUCUCAAUGCCGCGCGCGGAGCAGGCCGGCCGCGCCCGCCGCUCCACGUGCGCCCGGGCCCCGCUGGCAUGGGCGGCGGCGCCUGCGGGGGCCGAGCCCCGGGGAUUCCGGACCAGCCGGGAACCACAGUCCCCAGAGAGUUACCGCCGCCCCCUAAAUAAAGUUGGCUGCGCCCUCCUCCCGAGAAGCAGGCAGCCCUCGCGCAUUGGCUUUAGCUUCUGCAGGACGGGGGCAAAAAAAAACUAGGUACCAGGGUGCGGAGCGGGGUGUCUGUGCCCGAGACGACACCAAGUUAGGAAAAAGAAGUUAGAAAAAAAGAAAGAAAAGGAAAAAGGCAUUUUGAUUUGGGAGUGAGGGGAGUGGCGUUUCUGGUUUCUCUUUGCUUCCAAUCCCCACCAAGCGGAGCGUUGGAAUGCGCCGCUCAUGUCCUCUGAGGACACAUCCAUAUUUAUAAUUUAUUUUUAGGAGAAGUUGUGAAAAAGGGAGGGGGGUUAAAAUGAAGAGAAAAGGUGCGUGGGGGAGUGGCCUUUCCAGAACCUAGAGGCUAAUUGAGCUAUUAAAAUGGAAAUCACUUCCCCCAAUUUGGGCGCGCAGCAAAUUUGACUUUAAUGAGAGACGAUUAAGGACACAAAUAACCAAACUUUUUUUAGCUGGAGGUGGCGUGAGGGGGUGGGUGGACUGUACGAGACACCUCGGACACCCGAUUUAAUCGCUGCUGAGGGACGUUGGGGGCACCCCCUCGUGUUCUCCGGGAAGCUUUCAGGCCUGUUUACUGGGCGAGAUUGGUGAUUGCUCCCUGAGGGAAGAGACACCCCGGGAUCAAGCGAUUCUCCUGCCCUCAGCCAUGGGGUGGGCAAAUGCCCCCUCCUCCCAUAGCGACCCCCUGGCAUUUUGGUGAGGUGAACCGCCGCCCCGAGGGAACACCCAGUAACGAUUCCUUCAGCGAUCCGGGACUCUCCAAACUCCUGCCUCAAAGGCGGCCUGCCCCGGUGCUGUCAGCCGUGAAUGGGGACUCACUUCUUAGGAAAAGAGGUUUUGGAGGCUGUGGUCUCAGAAUCGGGGUUUUGAGGGCGAGAUGAGUUUAUGUUUUAUCCAACUGGCCCUCAAAGUCCCGCUUUUGGGGUCAUUCUGGACAGCGAGGGACUCAGGCCCAGGCAGUCCCAGGAGGGUGAGGGCAGAGAGCUACUACCCCCAGGGAACGCAUCUAAAACCCGGCUGCGUGGCGGAGCUGGGG
Molecule: long non-coding RNA, 1797 nt
Filed under: Piliocolobus tephrosceles (Ugandan red Colobus)
Lineage: Eukaryota; Metazoa; Chordata; Mammalia; Primates; Cercopithecidae
Description: lncRNA (ENSPTEG00000021900.1)
Rfam family: mir-193 microRNA precursor family (bases 1612-1686)
Source: RNAcentral